UCACCAUAACCAAGCCAAGCUUCGAUUCGACCAUCUGCUCCUCUGCUUCAAGACUGACGGCUUCAAGGCUCACAGCACCAGUUGCUACUUCAAAACUCAGGGGUCUCACAACAUCUGCUAUUGAAUUUUGUCCAGAAUCCAGCACCAAUUCCUGCUUCAAAACUCACGGGUCUCGCGGGUCUCACCGCAUCUACUGUUGAUUUUUAUCCAGAAUCUAGCACCAGUUUCUGCUUCAAAACUCACGGGUCUCACCGCAUCUGCUAUUGAAUUUUAUCCAGGUUUGUCAAUUUCUUCUCUUAAUAACAUGUUAAUGAUAAUUAUGAGUGUUGUUGUUGCUUGUGAUCCAUGGGAUUUUUCAAUCGGUUUUUGAAUGAUUCAUCAGGUUGAAAGAUUUCAAUGCUUUUAAACUAAA
Ziziphus jujuba (common jujube) is the source of this 412-nucleotide long non-coding RNA. RefSeq lists it as uncharacterized. The record is from RefSeq and is a predicted model, not a curated record. NCBI's taxonomy places the organism in Eukaryota, Viridiplantae, Streptophyta, Magnoliopsida, Rosales, Rhamnaceae. The transcript is spliced from 3 exons.